Long non-coding RNA from Gallus gallus (chicken), 1467 nucleotides. Lineage: Eukaryota; Metazoa; Chordata; Aves; Galliformes; Phasianidae. The record is from Ensembl.
CUGAUUUACAUUUAAAUUACAAAUUACGUUUUGCUGGCAUUAAUUUACAAUGCUGCUUAAAAAAAAAAUACAUAUUCCACUGUACAUGAAUAAUAAUUCUGAGCAGUCAGAUCUUGCUGGAUUGCUAUGAUAUCUUGGCAGUGGGUGCUGCAUACUAAUAUUCCUAGGAAGUUUUCUCCCUGUGAGCGUGGUGUUUCUCCAUGCACAAGCCUUGCACAUUGUCAUGCAGCCAGCCAGCCGCCGUGCAGCCCGUUGCCAUAGGAUCUGCAGAACGAUCUGCCUGCACAUGCAUUUUUAGGAGACUGCAGCAUAGCUGCAUGAAAAAAAGGCUCUGAAACAUGUACGCUCAUUCCAGGGCCAGAACAAGGAGCUUUCUAUGAAUCACUGCAGCCUGUGAGCGUGCUAAAUGCCAAGAACUGAGUGGGAUCUGUUCAUGCCAGUAUGUGGCUGGGAGUUUUUCGAGGAACAGCAGGAAGGCUGGUGCAGCCCGGUGCACGGUCAGCUCUGCUCGCACCUCUCUGUGUUCAAUUCACCCGAUGCUGCUCUGUACUGCCCCGAUCACGUUGCAGGCUGCAGGUCAGCUCCCAUUACUUCAUCCUUGGGCUGUGUCUUUGGCUCGUGCGUGGCACCUGGGAUGUGGAGUAGCUGGGGCCGGUGGGAACCAGAGCAAGGCCGGUGUGCGGUGCUGUGUUCAGGUUGAGAAAACGUCAGUCUUGACAUUCAGAACCAUCCUCCGUACAAAAUCCACGCUCUUCUGCAAGAAGAAAGGCUGUCUGUGAAAACAAAGCACAGAAUAAAGCAGAGCCACAGUCACCCUCACUUACUCACAAGAAGCAGUGCUGAUAAAUGACUAAUAGGAGUGACUGUUCAUAAAGCUGGAUUCAUCCUUAAUUUCCUCUCUCAGAAACUUUUCAGGUUCGUGAGCAACAUCAUUUCAGCUUUACUUUCCCAGGAAGCUCCUUUCUGAUGGGAAAAGAGUUGCCUUGUAAACGUUAUAACAAAUUCACCGGGACCACAUCACAAUCCGCUCAUUUCCUCUCGGCUCCCUGAGACACAACUUGCUGCAGAAAGGAUUCAUUUGUAGUGUGUGCUUGAAACACUACAAGGAAAAUGCUCAGAACAGAGGACCUGCCUACUCUUCAAAUCCUUUUCCUUCCCAUCAGAAGUGAGGGAGAAAAGUGAGUGUCAGCAGCUUCACGGGGAUAAACCAACAGCACAUCUUGGACACAGCUAGCCAAGAAAGCAGCCCCAGAAAGGAGCACACAGAAGAUGUGUAAAUUCUGUCCAAGGAAUUUGGAAGGUCUGGGGCAGAGCAGUAGCACACUGUCAGCCUAAUUACACAAUAAAACCUGCCAGAGUGCAGCCAGAACAACCAUUUAUGGAGUCAGCUGAUGCCGAAAAAACAUGUUGUUUACAGCAUAGCAUCUACUCUGCCUGAAAAUCACCCAAAGAGAGGAAGGAACUGGG